Molecule: ribosomal RNA, 253 nt
Filed under: uncultured bacterium
Lineage: Bacteria
Description: partial 16S ribosomal RNA
Rfam family: Bacterial small subunit ribosomal RNA
Source: RNAcentral
UACAGAGGGUGCAAGCGUUACUCGGAUUUACUGGGCGUAAAGCGUGCGUAGGCGGUUCGCUAAGUCGGUUGUGAAAUCCCUGGGCUUAACCUGGGAACUGCAGUCGAUACUGGCGGACUAGAGUACGGUAGAGGGUGGCGGAACUCCGGGUGUAGCGGUGAAAUGCGUAGAUAUCCGGAAGAACACCGAUGGCGAAGGCAACCACCUGGGCCUGUACUGACGCUGAGGUACGAAAGCGUGGGGAGCAAACAGG